UUAAUUUGUUUUAUCAACCAGGGCAGCUCUACGAAAGUUCAAUAGCGCUAUYAAUGUUUCUGAUCCAUCAGAUAAAUCCUUAUCCGGCGGAUAAAAAGCCACAUACAAAAUCUACGAAGUUGAUAAUUAUCCAGUUAGACCUAAUCGGCUUCAACCGGCCAAUUCAAACCACCCGGGAGAUUUGAAUUGGUAUAACGUACCUACAUACUGUUACAAGAUAUUUUCGGGAACUUGUAAGCUGUGGGACUUCUCAAAUAGAGCUGGUACUUGGAUCAAGAUACUUUUUAAUAUCAGACUUUAGAAUGAAGUUUACACACUGAGCAUAUCUAACAACAACUAACUGUACAAGAUGUCAAUCUACCUAUAUAGUGGAUAUCUUACAAGUAGGAUGACAGCAAAUUGUAGUCUCGUUAUACUGUCAAACUUGUAGUUCUUAUCCGACAGUUACAAUGGAAUAUUCGAAAUUGAUAGAAAAGAUUAGAGGUAAACCAAGGAGUCACAAGGUGCAACCAGACUUUAGCUUAGUUGAGGCACACAACUCCAACAAGACAAAAUAGAAAACCUAUCGAAAUAGUAACCUAAAUUAUAUUCGAGACAAAUGUAUUGGAAUCCUAAAAGACCUUAAAACAGCUAGGAGAAACGUGAUAUGUACGAAAUGGAUGUCAUAUUUUAUGUAUAACCAAUAUAAUGUCAAAUUAAGUAUCUGUUCUAUUAAAGCAAAACCGCAAGUGGAGCUUGAA
Long non-coding RNA from Exaiptasia diaphana, 740 nucleotides. RefSeq lists it as uncharacterized. The transcript has 2 exons. NCBI's taxonomy places the organism in Eukaryota, Metazoa, Cnidaria, Anthozoa, Actiniaria, Aiptasiidae. The record is from RefSeq and is a predicted model, not a curated record.